RNAcentral lists this transfer RNA (76 nucleotides) under Chloroflexota bacterium. RNAcentral's name for it is "Chloroflexi bacterium tRNA-Asn". It matches the Rfam family "tRNA". Rfam says of the family: Transfer RNA (tRNA) molecules are approximately 80 nucleotides in length. Their secondary structure includes four short double-helical elements and three loops (D, anti-codon, and T loops). Lineage: Bacteria; Bacillati; Chloroflexota. The record is from RNAcentral. RNAcentral also lists the same sequence under 1 other name.
ACCCUUGUGGCCUAACUGGUAAGGCGGCCGGCCGUUAACCGGAAGCAUCGAGGUUCGAGUCCUCGCGAGGGUGCCA